RNAcentral lists this ribosomal RNA (515 nucleotides) under uncultured delta proteobacterium. Its description in RNAcentral is "bacterial SSU rRNA". It matches the Rfam family "Bacterial small subunit ribosomal RNA", at positions 33 to 523 of the family's 1533-position model. Lineage: Bacteria; Deltaproteobacteria. The record is from RNAcentral.
GACGCUGGCGGCGUGCUUAACACAUGCAAGUCGAGCGAGAAAGAGGGCUUCGCCCUUGAGUACAGCGGCGAACGGGUGCGUAACACGUGGGUAAUCUGUCCUUGAGGUGGGAAUAACCCAGCGAAAGUUGGGCUAACACCGGAUAAGACCACGGGAGUGGGCUCUCGCGGUCAAAGGACGCUUCCUGAGGGGAGCGUUCCUUCAAGGAGGAGCCCCGCGGCCUAUCAGCUAGUUGGUAGGGUCAUGGCCUACCAAGGCGACGACGGGUAGCUGGUCUGAGAGGAUGGCCAGCCACACGGGGACUGAGACACGGCCCCGACUCCUACGGGAGGCAGCAGUGGGGAAUAUUGGGCAAUGGGCGCAAGCCUGACCCAGCGACGCCGCGUGGGUGAUGAAGGCCUUCGGGUCGUAAAGCCCUGUCGGGAGGAACGAAUGGGCUAAGGGCAAAGAGGUCUUAGCCGUGACGGUACCUCCGAAGGAAGCACCGGCCAACUCCGUGCCAGUAGCCGCGGUAA